This 331-nucleotide ribosomal RNA is filed under the name uncultured bacterium. RNAcentral describes it as "bacterial SSU rRNA". It matches the Rfam family "Bacterial small subunit ribosomal RNA", at positions 8 to 311 of the family's 1533-position model. The record is from RNAcentral.
AGAGUUUGAUCAUGGCUCAGGAUGAACGCUAGCUACAGGCUUAACACAUGCAAGGUCGAGGGGGCAGCAUGGUCUUUAGCUUGCUAAGGCCGAUGGCGACCGGCGCACGGGUGAGUAACGNGUAUCCAACCUGCCUUACACUCUUGGACAGCCUUCUGAAAGGGGAGACUUAAUACAAGAUGUUAUCAGUGAGUAAGCUAUUUUCGCAUGUAGUUUAAAGGGUUUACCGGUAGUAAGGAGUGGGGAUGGCGUUUCCAGUUAGAUAGUAGGCGGGAGUAACGGCCACCGUGUCUUCGAGUGAGUAGGGGUUCUAGAGAGGAACGGUCCCCAC